Molecule: ribosomal RNA, 253 nt
Filed under: uncultured bacterium
Lineage: Bacteria
Description: partial 16S ribosomal RNA
Rfam family: Bacterial small subunit ribosomal RNA
Source: RNAcentral
UACGGAGGGUGCAAGCGUUAUCCGGAUUCACUGGGUUUAAAGGGUGCGUAGGUGGAUUGGUAAGUCGGGUGUGAAAUCCCUGGGCUCAACCCGGGAAUUGCAUUCGAUACUGGCGAGCUAGAGUACGGUAGAGGGCGGCGGAAUUCCGGGUGUAGCGGUGAAAUGCGUAGAUAUCCGGAGGAACACCGAUGGCGAAGGCAACCGCCUGGGCCUGUACUGACGCUGAGACACGAAAGCGUGGGGAGCAAACAGG